Chromatiales bacterium is the source of this 96-nucleotide non-coding RNA. Lineage: Bacteria; Pseudomonadati; Pseudomonadota; Gammaproteobacteria; Chromatiales. The record is from Rfam.
UGCCGGUACCCCCGCGACGCGAGGUUGUGAACCCCGUCAGGCCCGAGAGGGAGCAGCGGCAGCAGCGGAGCGGGUGCUGGGGCGUGGCUGGCACGG